Long non-coding RNA from Leopardus geoffroyi (Geoffroy's cat), 624 nucleotides. RefSeq lists it as uncharacterized. Lineage: Eukaryota; Metazoa; Chordata; Mammalia; Carnivora; Felidae. The transcript has 3 exons. The record is from RefSeq and is a predicted model, not a curated record.
CAGCAGGUCUCACCCUGUCUCAGGAAGACGUCAGGGGUCAGCACAAGGCCAGACUCCGAGUUGAUGAGUCACUCUGGGAGAAGGCCAAUCGCAGGAUGAAGGUCUGGUUCCAUUAAAAGCAGGCAAAGUGGUGGAAAAACGUAUUUUGGAGAAAGCGGUAGAGGGGUGAGGCCAACAAACUUUGGUUCCUCUCCAAGCCAGUACAUCUGCUAUGGCACCCGUGGAGAACCACUGAAAGAUGGGAUGACUGAACCAUGAGGAGGAAAAUUGGAGAGAGUGGUGAAGAUUAUUCUCCAUCAAUCCCUGGGCACUCUGAUGUCAGCACAGAGGGCUAGGGCAGAGAAAGAGCUCUAUGAAGAGAGAAGAAAAGCAAGCUGACCCACGUAUUCUGGGAGUGUGUGCAAGGGACAGGUGGAUGUGGGUCCAAUCUUUUGAGCCCCCACAUCACAGCAAAUCAUUCUAAGGGAUACCAAGGACAAAUCACUGAUUCUAGGGCAAACGAAAUAAGAUGAAUCUGGUUUUACCUGAUAUAACACCAAUUCUGAUCACCUCUUUUUCUUCUCUUUAAAACUGGACUAAGAACUCAAUGACUUACUUUAUUGUUCUGUUUAAACAAUUAAAUUU